RNAcentral lists this ribosomal RNA (465 nucleotides) under uncultured bacterium. RNAcentral's name for it is "partial 16S ribosomal RNA". It matches the Rfam family "Bacterial small subunit ribosomal RNA", at positions 28 to 507 of the family's 1533-position model. The record is from RNAcentral.
GACGAACGCUGGCGGCGUGCUUAACACAUGCAAGUCGUACGGUAAGGCCCUUUCGGGGGUACACGAGUGGCGAACGGGUGAGUAACACGUGAGUAACCUGCCCACAACUUUGGGAUAACGCUAGGAAACUGGUGCUAAUACUGGAUAUGUGCUACUGCUGCAUGGUGGGGGUUGGAAAGCUCCGGCGGUUGUGGAUGGACUCGCGGCCUAUCAGCUUGUUGGUGGGGUAGUGGCCUACCAAGGCGGCGAUGGGUAGCCGGCCUGAGAGGGUGACCGGCCACAUUGGGACUGAGAUACGGCCCAGACUCCUACGGGAGGCAGCAGUGGGGAAUAUUGCACAAUGGGCGCAAGCCUGAUGCAGCAACGCCGCGUGCGGGAUGACGGCCUUCGGGUUGUAAACCGCUUUCAGCAGGGACGAAGCUUUUUGUGACGGUACCUGCAGAAGAAGCACCGGCUAACUACGUG